This 76-nucleotide transfer RNA is filed under the name Neotoma lepida (desert woodrat). It matches the Rfam family "tRNA". Rfam says of the family: Transfer RNA (tRNA) molecules are approximately 80 nucleotides in length. Lineage: Eukaryota; Metazoa; Chordata; Mammalia; Rodentia; Cricetidae. The record is from Rfam by way of RNAcentral.
GGGGAUGUCGCUCAGUGCUAGUAGAGCACUUGCCUAGCAGGCACAAGACCCUGGGUUCAAUUCCCCAGCACCACUA